GACGAACGCUGGCGGCGUGCUUAACACAUGCAAGUCGAACGGAAAGGCCCUGCUUUUGUGGGGUGCUCGAGUGGCGAACGGGUGAGUAACACGUGAGUAACCUGCCCUUGACUUUGGGAUAACUUCAGGAAAUUGGGGCUAAUACCGGAUAGGAGCUCCUGCUGCAUGGUGGGGGUUGGAAAGUUUCGGCGGUUGGGGAUGGACUCGCGGCUUAUCAGCUUGUUGGUGGGGUAGUGGCCUACCAAGGCUUUGACGGGUAGCCGGCCUGAGAGGGUGACCGGCCACAUUGGGACUGAGAUACGGCCCAGACUCCUACGGGAGGCAGCAGUGGGGAAUAUUGUACAAUGGGCGGAAGCCUGAUGCAGCAACGCCGCGUGCGGGAUGACGGCCUUCGGGUUGUAAACCGCUUUCGCCUGUGACGAAGCGUGAGUGACGGUAAUGGGUAAAGAAGCACCGGCUAACUACGUG
RNAcentral lists this ribosomal RNA (468 nucleotides) under uncultured bacterium. RNAcentral's name for it is "partial 16S ribosomal RNA". It matches the Rfam family "Bacterial small subunit ribosomal RNA", at positions 28 to 507 of the family's 1533-position model. The record is from RNAcentral.